GAAAACUUGUUCUGGCCAAUAUAUGUCUUCUAGAAGCCUUGGAGGACGUCUCUUGAAAGUGGGACCACGAGUUUUUAAGUGUAGAAGUCGCCUGGUGUGAACACAAGUGUGUAUGGUUCCAUUUAAGGCAAGUCUUGGUCUAGGGGGCUUUUCUUUAGUGUGAACGCUCCAAAUAGAUUCUGAGCUUUCUUUUCUCUUCCAUGUACGUCUAAUAUGAUCUCCAGGGACUUGAGAAUUCGCAGCAACACUUGAAAAGGAGAAAUAAAGCUUGAACUCAUGACUCGGCUCUCGGUAGGCUCUAAAUGGAGGGUCUCGGGCAACUUCUAAAUGAACUCGUUCCAGGGGAAUUCUUCCACGACAAAAUGUCUUCUUGUAGG
Molecule: long non-coding RNA, 377 nt
Filed under: Eutrema salsugineum
Lineage: Eukaryota; Viridiplantae; Streptophyta; Magnoliopsida; Brassicales; Brassicaceae
Description: long non-coding RNA (ESAL_LNC001259)
Source: RNAcentral